AUGUCUCUCUGUCUCUCUGUGUGGUAUAUUCAGCUGGUACUCUGCCAUGUCUCUCUGUCUCUCUGUGUGGUAUAUUCAGCUGGUACUCUGCCAUGUCCCUCUGUCUCUCUGUGUGGUAUAUUCAGCUGGUACUCUGCCAUGUCUCUCUGUCUCUCUGUGUGGUAUAUUCAGCUGGUACUCUGCCAUGUCUCUCUGUCUCUCUGUGUGGUAUAUUCAGCUGGUACUCUGCCAUGUCUCUCUGUCUCUCUGUGUGGUAUAUUCAGCUGGUACUCUGCCAUGUCCCUCUGUCUCUCUGUGUGGUAUAUUCAGCUGGUACUCUGCCAUGUCUCUCUGUGUGGUAUAUUCAGCUGGUACUCUGCCAUGUCCCUCUGUAUAUUCAGCUGGUACUCUGCCAUGUCUCUCUGUCUCUCUGUGUGGUAUAUUCAGCUGGUACUCUGCCAUGUCUCUCUGUCUCUCUGUGUGGUAUAUUCAGCUGGUACUCUGCCAUGUCUCUCUGUCUCUCUGUAUGGUAUAUUCAGCUGGUACUCUGAGGUAUUGAUCUCAGCUUCAGUAUCCUGCUGCUUGUGGGUGGACAGACAGACAGACAGGAAGGCACUCAGACAGUCUAACAGACGAACAGGAAGACAGGCUGGCAGACAGACAGGCAGGCAGGCUGAUAGACAGGCAGACAGACGAACAGGCAGGCUGACAGGCAGGCAGGCAGGCAGACAGACAGACAGACAGGCAGGCAGACUGUCUGUCUGUCUGUCUGUCUGUCUGUCUGUCUGUCUGUGAUAUCACCAUUAUAAGUUGGGUUGUUUCGUUGGCAAUGUUACUUCCUGCUUCCUGUCUGUGUACAGAGAAGGACAGGUGACCAUGCAUUCUCUAGCAGCUCCACUGAACAAUUAUACAGGCAUGAUUCACUGUCAAACCACUAGGUCUUUCUAGUCCGGCUGCUCCGUCCACCUGCUGCACUGAGGAGGUCAGUCCUUUGAAUGUGACCGUCACUGCAGAGGCCUGUCACGGGUCAGUGGAGAGAGAGUGUGCCCCUAGGCCUGGAGGGGUAGCACACAGCUGUGAAGGUAUUGCCUGUUUUCUCUUACUCUGCAGUCUCUCUCUCUCCCCCCCUCUCUCUCUAUCUUUCUUUCUCUCUCACUCUCUCACUCUCUCUCUCUGUGUGUCUCUCUCCUUCUCCCUCUGCCUCCCUCCCUCUCUCUCUGCAGUGAUCUUAUGUAAUCUGAUUGAUUUUAGGGGAAUGUGCUGGUGUGCAGACAAGAGGCAGCUGAGGGGAGGGUAAGGGCUAGAUGAGGGGAGGAGAAAGUGGACCCAGAGGAAAAGAAGGUUAGAUGAGGGGAGGAGGAAGUGGAGAGGAGGUAGAAGUGCUAGAUGAGAGGAGGAGGAAGUGGAGGAAGAGGAGAGGUAGAAGGGCUAGAUGAGGGGAGGUAGAAGGGCUAGAUGAGGAGAGGAGGUCAAAGAGCUCAGACAGACUUGACUGAAUGGGGUCUGAUCUGCAUCACAACAGACUGCUUGUUUGCUUAUCUUGAAACAUUCACUUACAGGAUUCUGAUCCGUCAUCAGUCGCUUAAUAAUGUAUUAGUGUCGCAGGGAGUCAAUCAAUUCACAUUCAACAUGCAUUAGUGGAAAGACCGUUAUAUUGCUGGACUGGCAUUAGAUCUGUAAGUGGUUUGAACAUACAGUCUGGACGGUUACAUACAGCAGACGUUCUUAUCCUUAACACUCUUAUCCAGAACAACUUACCCAACCCCCCCCCCCCCCCGUGGGGAAUCAAACCCACGGCCCUGGCGUUGCAAGCGCCCUGGUCUACCAACUGAGCCACGUGGGACCUUUUGGACUUGGAUAUGUGGGGAACUGGAAGCCUUGUUGUGACUAUUUCCAAGGCCUUGUUGUGACUAUUUCC
RNAcentral lists this long non-coding RNA (1897 nucleotides) under Oncorhynchus mykiss (rainbow trout). RNAcentral describes it as "lncRNA (ENSOMYG00000074921.1)". The record is from RNAcentral. Lineage: Eukaryota; Metazoa; Chordata; Actinopteri; Salmoniformes; Salmonidae.